RNAcentral lists this microRNA precursor (96 nucleotides) under Loxodonta africana (African savanna elephant). RNAcentral describes it as "miRNA (ENSLAFG00000029455.1)". The record is from RNAcentral. Lineage: Eukaryota; Metazoa; Chordata; Mammalia; Proboscidea; Elephantidae.
CCUGGGAACUUGUGAGAAAUGCGAGUUCUCAGGCCCCACCCCAGAAAGACUGAACCAAACACUCCGGGUGUGGAGUCCAGGGAUCUGUAUUUUAAC